UACAGAGGUCUCAAGCGUUGUUCGGAUUCAUUGGGCGUAAAGGGUGCGUAGGUGGCGCCGUAAGUCAGGUGUGAAAUUUCGGAGCUUAACUCCGAAACUGCAUUUGAUACUGCGGUGCUUGAGGACUGGAGAGGAGACUGGAAUUCACGGUGUAGCAGUGAAAUGCGUAGAUAUCGUGAGGAAGACCAGUGGCGAAGGCGGGUCUCUGGAACGCAACUGACGCUGAGACGCGAAAGCGUGGGGAGCAAACAGG
Molecule: ribosomal RNA, 253 nt
Filed under: uncultured bacterium
Lineage: Bacteria
Description: partial 16S ribosomal RNA
Rfam family: Bacterial small subunit ribosomal RNA
Source: RNAcentral